This is a long non-coding RNA of Eriocheir sinensis (Chinese mitten crab), 4688 nucleotides long. RefSeq lists it as uncharacterized. Lineage: Eukaryota; Metazoa; Arthropoda; Malacostraca; Decapoda; Varunidae. The record is from RefSeq and is a predicted model, not a curated record. The transcript is spliced from 3 exons.
GUCAAUAAGAUUUUGAUAGUAAAAGAGCCAGGUAGGACGCGUGGCAAUGGUUUUAAGUUAAACAAAUUCAGAUUCAUCAAAGACAUAGGCAAGAAUUGGUUUACUAACAGAGUGGUGGAUGAGUGGAACAGGCUUGGGGGCCAUGUUGUGGGUGCCAAUACCAUAGAUACAUUCAAGAAGAGGUUAGAUAAAGCCAUGGCCUUGUAUAGCCUAACCAGCCUCUUGCAGACUCCUUAUGUUCUUAACUCUUGCAUAAGGAGUUUGGACACACAAACCAUUUCAUAAUAUAUAUCAAAGCAUUUGUGAUCAGAUUAUGCAUCAUCUAUUUUGGGGGGUUUAAAUAUCAUGGCACAAACUUGGCCCAUCGCUGCUACACGGUAAAGCCACAAACUUGGCCCGUUGCUGCUGCCGGGUUAAUGGAGCAGCCACCUGUGUCUGAGCCAAGAUGUCUGGAUGUCUCUGCCGCUGCCUCUCCGCAUGUCUGAGUCUCCCUGUACUUCCAGUGUGUUGCCCCGCCUGGAGAGACACGUUGAUGGAGGUGGCCGUGUGUGUCACCCUUUGCCUGUAUCCUCUGGCGCCCAGAGGCGCGUAAGCGGAGAGCAUCGGCGCAGCGCGGGAGCAGCACGUCAGGGUGUAGGGUGUUUGUUUAGCUGGUGUAGGGUGUUAGGGUGUUAGGUGUAACAACGGUUGGCUCUUUCACAGAACGGGUGUGACUCCGUUCUGCGUUUGAGUCUUCCACCUUCAGACGGUCUCCCUCCGAGAUGUCUGAAGUUUUUUUUGUCGGUUUUCUCCGUAGGAGGAAGCCGACUCUAGCUACUCUGGCCUCUCUUCCGGGGGUCAGAGCGGUCGGGCUCUGCUUGGCCAGGCGUUAGUCUUUCGCGUUGUCUCCGCCGACGUUUUGCCAGACUCUUCCGUAAGGUUGAGCCUGGCUUUUUUAUUAGGUGGAUCAGGCUGCCUUCUUCCAAGGAGUCUGAUGGGAGUGGAGUCUUUUUUUUGGUGUAUGUCUGUGGGUGCUCAGUGGGUAAGGGAGGGUGGGGUAGAAUGGUUGGUGGGCUGGAAGUGGGUUGGGGGAUGAGCCUCCUGGGAUUUGGGUUGUGUCGAGCCUUACCGCCUGGUGUGUUGGGUAACCUUCACGCCAGGGGGGGGGUGCCAAGACCAUAUCCAUCUCCUGGGCAGGGCGAUUCCCCUUUCCCAUGCCAACUGGCCCUCCUCCGUCUGCCUCCCCAAACCCCCGCUGAGUGCUUGUGUGUGUUAUUUUAUUUAGGAUGUCUUUUUUUUCUAUGCCUUUUUCCCGUGUGUUUAUACCCAAUAGCUAGCGUGUGUGUGUGUGUGGCAGUCCGGAGGCGCGUGCAGCGAGGACAUCACAUCACGUCACUACGGUAUAUCCACGGUAUUUGGUUUAGUGUGUGCUGUGUGUGUUUGUGUGUGUGAUGGCAGGCCUGCCGUGUGUUUGACCUUUUGCUGUGUGUUGCUGUGUGACUGCUAGGAUUUCAUUUCUAUGUAUGUUUUUUUCCCCAUAACCCCCUUCCUCCCUAGCUCUUUAGCUGUUGUCCCUGCUGGGUGGAUGCUGCCGGGCGACCAACGGCGGUGGCGGUGUGCAACGCGGGAGCUGCUGAGGUUUGGGGUAGCACUACGGUGCAGGUUAUGUAGGGUGUGUGAGUUUUUUUUUUGUGUGAGUGUCUUUUUUUUGUGUGGGGGACUUAGCUAAUCACUGUGUCAGGAAGGCAUGGGCGUGGCCGUCUGUCCAUCAGGCCGACGGGCGGGUGUGCCACCUGGCAGUCAGGCUAGCAGGUGACAGGCAAGCUAUCUGGCGGUCAGGCUGUCAGUCGGGCCAUCAGAUAGGUAGGCAGGCCACCUUGCGGUCGGGUUGUCGGGCGGGCACCCCACCCUCGGUCAGGUAGGCAGGCAGCAGCGUCUACGCUGAGCCGUACGGCUACACGUACGAACGCACGGAACCCGUACGCUACGUUCCGCUGCACUGACGCUCGUCGUACCUCUGCUCGCACGCUUGCGGGCGGGUUGGGGGCGGGGGGCGGAUGGGCGGACGGGCGGGCGUACGUGGGAACGGGCGGGCGGACGGGUGGUCGGGCGGUUAGGGAGUCGGAGCAACGCUUGAAAGACGCGCAGAUAGAUGUCAGAUUCUCCCGUAGGGAGGUCUGGCAAGGUGUUAGUUUAGGCGGCGGAGUUGUACGCGGGCCAGUCUGUGUUACAGCUUUGCCGCCAGGGUAGCUCCUUCCGAGUUACUGAGAACCAGUUUUCCUCACAGGAGGAGGCUGGUGGGGCCUAGGGUGUUAGGGGUACGACGGUUGGCUCUUUCACAGAACGGGUGUUUUCCGUUCUGCGUUUGAGUCUGCCGCCUUUGGGCGUCUCCCUCUGAGAUGUCGGUUAGGAUUUCUUUUUUUUAUAUGUCCGUGUGUGUAACUGUUGCCUUUUAGCCUGUUGUGUUCCUGAGCAGCAAGAAGAGGCGGCUGUGGUGACCCGCCCGAUGCGGAAGGCUUCUGGGCCCUGUCGGCGGGGGCGCACCUCUCUGGCUGACUGGUUGACCAGGCUUUGACCAGGUGGCCAGGGAGGCGCAUCCUCGCUGGGCGGGGUCUGGGGGCCCUCCGUCUUGGGGAGGUCGCUGCAGCAGGAGGAGGUAACUACUGCUGGUUUUGUAAGGCAUUGUGGUUGAGAGCACCUUGCAGCUGUAACGCGAAUUUCGUUCCGUAAUAAACAAUGUACCGCCAUGCUGCCUGUCCUUCCUCCCUCCCAGCACUGUGUACGUCUGUGUGUGUGUGUUGCUUAAUUCUCCCUCACUGCACUGUGCGUACGUCUGUGUGUGUGUGUUGCUCUGUCUCUGUCUCUCUCUCUCUCUCAAUCUCUCUCUCUGUCUCUGUCUCUCUGUCUGUCUCUCUAUCUCUCAAUCUCUCUCUGUGUCUUUCUCUCUCUCUCUCUAGUUAGUAAAGAACAGGCAACGUUUGCCAUGGAAGACUCUACAGUGUACAUCCCAACCCUCUACGGCCGUUGCUGCUCCACCCGGGCAUUACCACAUCCACCCGGGUCUACAAGAAACCUCCAGGGCCGAGCUUCAACCACAGAACACCUCGUCACCGUUGAUGAGGCUCCACGCCCCGGACCACAGCCAUGUUAGCCUCGAUAAUAGUCCUCGGCGCACUUAUUCUGAGACGUCCUCGCGAGUGAGUGUCCUAAUUGCCUUUACUGAUAAUGUCGCAGGUGUCCAGUGGUUCAGGUGUGAUGUCAGAUAUUUUUGUUAUUGUGUCAUAAAUAUCCAGUGAUUAUUUCCGAGUCGCUGAAUGUUCAUCGCACACAGUUUGUCUUUGAGUAGAAACACUGAUUAAUAUCCAUGAUCGGUUAGGUUACGAACUCCCUCAAUUUCAGACUGGAGAGCUACACAACACUGGUCAUCCGCUGAGUGGUUGAAUUCCUGGUCUACCGGCCCCUGGAGGAGUGGUCGAUUGCCUGGUCUACCGUGGAUAUGAGUGGUUGAUUCCCUGGUCUACCCCUGGAUGACGCAGCUGUUCCUAUGCAGGGGAGGACUCACACAAGCGAUAAGCACCUGUCGGACCUGGAGACUCCCCCCUGAGCCUGACGGUGGAGCUGUGGGCCCUGCACCAGACCCCCCCCCCCCCCACACCACCCACAGCAGGGGCAGGGCAUUGAGACUCCCCCCACAGGCUAAGACAGGGAGGGACUUGAAGAUCCAGGUUUUUGUCAUCUGCACAGGAAUUGACACUAGACAAUAAUUGACAAUAUAGUUUCCUUUUUUGUGUGUGCCCUUGAGCUGUCUCCUUUGUUGUAGAAAAAAAUACUUGACAAGGCUUUCAUAGGUGUUUGGGGCAUUUCCAGGGGUAGUUUAAUGACCCUGGUGGUAGUCUGACCCUUCCUCUGUGCAAUGAACUUGAAAAAAACGCUCAUAAAAAUGCAGAUAUUAACCCAGUAGCAGUGGGGAUCAUGUUUCUUAAUGGUCCCUCCAAGCGAGAAAAAUGAGAAAAAAAUCACCCUCACACAAACCAUUUCAUAUAUAUCAAAGCAUUUGCGAUUAGAUUAUGUAUCAUCUAUUUUUGGGGGUUUAUAUCAUGGUACAAAUUUGGCCUGUCGCUGCUACAUGGUAAAGCCACAAAAUUGGCCCAUCACUGCUACCAGGUUAACCUCAUUAUCGUGUUAAAAUCCCUGUAUCUCACUGUUAUCUUCCUCUCCCUCUAUAUUAUUUAUCAAUCUCUCUCUCUCUCUCUCUCCCACAGAUGUCUAAGGUUUCGCCCAUGCAGCUGAAGGGUGCCAAUGCCUACACAUGCGUCGACCACAGGUGUGCGCUGGACAUUGCCUACAAUUCAUGGUGCAAAUGGUAUGUUGGAGGAAUUCUUUGAUGUAUUUGAGGGACUGGGAUGCCUGCUGGAUGGUACAGGUAAAUUACUUGGCUGAGAGAGCCCGGGUUCAAUUCCCGGGCAGAGUGGAAAAAUUUGGGCGGCUUUUCCGAUACCCUACGCCCCUGUCCACCCAGCAGUGAAUGGGUACCAGGUAUUAAUCGGGGGUUGUGUCCCGUCUCCUGGGGUCUGUUCCCUUCUCCUAUAAUCCUUUCCUCUUCUGUCUCUCUCCGGCAUAUGACCACAGAUGUUGCACCCACUAAACAAAACUUUCCUUCCUUCCCCUUCUGUCUCUCUUCGGCAUAUGACCACAGAUGUUGUGCCCAC